CGAACGGCAGCACAGGGAGCUUGCUCCCGGGUGGCGAGUGGCGCACGGGUGAGUAAUACAUCGGAACGUGUCCUGUUGUGGGGGAUAACUGCUCGAAAGGGUGGCUAAUACCGCAUGAGACCUGAGGGUGAAAGCGGGGGAUCGCAAGACCUCGCGCAAUUGGAGCGGCCGAUGCCCGAUUAGCUAGUUGGUGAGGUAAAGGCUCACCAAGGCGACGAUCGGUAGCUGGUCUGAGAGGACGACCAGCCACACUGGGACUGAGACACGGCCCAGACUCCUACGGGAGGCAGCAGUGGGGAAUUUUGGACAAUGGGGGCAACCCUGAUCCAGCCAUGCCGCGUGCAGGAUGAAGGCCUUCGGGUUGUAAACUGCUUUUGUCAGGGACGAAAAGGACCGUGUUAAUACCAUGGUCUGCUGACGGUACCUGAAGAAUAAGCACCGGCUAACUACGUGCCAGCAGCCGCGGUAAUACGUAGGGUGCAAGCGUUAAUCGGAAUUACUGGGCGUAAAGCGUGCGCAGGCGGUUCUGUAAGACAGAUGUGAAAUCCCCGGGCUCAACCUGGGAAUUGCAUUUGUGACUGCAGGACUAGAGUUCAUCAGAGGGGGGUGGAAUUCCAAGUGUAGCAGUGAAAUGCGUAGAUAUUUGGAAGAACACCAAUGGCGAAGGCAGCCCCCUGGGAUGUGACUGA
RNAcentral lists this ribosomal RNA (689 nucleotides) under uncultured bacterium. RNAcentral's name for it is "bacterial SSU rRNA". It matches the Rfam family "Bacterial small subunit ribosomal RNA", at positions 63 to 743 of the family's 1533-position model. The record is from RNAcentral.